Molecule: long non-coding RNA, 844 nt
Organism: Populus euphratica (Euphrates poplar)
Lineage: Eukaryota; Viridiplantae; Streptophyta; Magnoliopsida; Malpighiales; Salicaceae
Exons: 2
Source: RefSeq, a predicted model, not a curated record
UCAUCAUUUACUAUAUUGGAUCAGAGAUGUACAUGGUUGGAUCAUAUGCAGCAUCUUAUCAACUAUUAAGCAGCUUGAGUGCCUGCAACAAACAGAACCAUGCCGCUUUUUCUGACUUCAAGGUGUCUAGAUUGUGUCUUCAUAUUUCAUGAUUAAGAUAAGGUCAAGAAACAUGGUCGUAAUUGCAGAUUCAGAGCACAUGAUUCUUGAAACCAAUUUCUCUAUAAUGCAAUUUCAUAAAGACAAUCCAAUUUCUACUAGAUGUGAAGGACAGACAAGUACUAGCAAGAGAGGAGCUUCUAGCAUUUAAACUCUAUAGAACUCGAAGUUCAGUUUGUUGACCAGAUGCCUUUUCCAUUGAAACAUGAUAUGGCUGAACACACACACACAUGUAUAAAAGGAACAUGAAGCUAACUGCAAGUCAUCAAAAACAUUUCAAGGCACCCUUGAUACUUUUUUUGGCCAAGGUCUUGGACAGUAAGACAUGUUUCCCCAAAGAACAAGUCAACACUCUAGGCUCUAGGCAUUCACCAGAAAAAGUGACUUGGGCUAUCUCUGAGGUUGUUUCUGAUUGCAGAAAUAAAAAGCAUUCAGAAGUCAGAUACCCAGCAAUAUACACACUAGAGGUAAGUGAGCAACUUCUAAACCAGUUACAAAACCCAACCAUAUGCCCUGCACCCUUGGGACCUUAUCUACCAGUAUGAGUUGCCUUAUUCGCACUAAUGCCCUCAACUGUUUAAGGCACUAAAAGAUUGCCAAGUGUAUGUCAAGCUCAGUUGAAGUCAAUUUCAGUUUAAAGCCUUGAACUUAAAAGAUCAAUUUUUUUUUUUCCAGCCCCAUCCAU